GCAUAUCUGUCAAGUCAGAAACGUAAACAAACACGGACAACCGCCCGUAAAGAUUGUGUGCAGAAUAAUCGUAGAAUUUUAUGUGAAAACUCGGGAAAAGGAAAAACAUCAUUUCAUCCCGAAAUUUGGCAACAUUCGUCCGAGUAUGAUCGAGCAGCUGUGUGUGUGUAUGCCGACGAAAUACGACGCCGUUUCUACAACAAUCACUAAAGCCGGCUGUGAUCGUGAUCGGCACAUUCUCAACUGGACCAACACACCGGUCGUUGUGUAUCUUCAAGCAAACCAACGUUGCCAUACACCACAAAAUAGCAUGGAAAGGAAA
Anopheles gambiae (African malaria mosquito) is the source of this 322-nucleotide long non-coding RNA. RefSeq lists it as uncharacterized. The record is from RefSeq and is a predicted model, not a curated record. The transcript has 3 exons. Lineage: Eukaryota; Metazoa; Arthropoda; Insecta; Diptera; Culicidae.